UGCAUAUCCAAAAAGCGGAGGAAAAGAAACUAACAAGGAUUCCCCUAGUAACUGCGAGUGAAGCGGGAAAAGCUCAAAUUUAAAAUCUGGUGGUCUUUGGCCAUCCGAGUUGUAAUCUAGAGAAGUGUCAUCCGCGCUGGACCGUGUACAAGUCCCCUGGAAUGGGGCGUCAUAGAGGGUGAGAAUCCCGUCUUUGACACGGACUACCAGGGCUUUGUGAUGCACUCUCAAAGAGUCGAGUUGUUUGGGAAUGCAGCUCAAAAUGGGUGGUAAAUUCCAUCUAAAGCUAAAUAUUGGCGAGAGACCGAUAGCGAACAAGUACCGUGAGGGAAAGAUGAAAAGAACUUUGGAAAGAGAGUUAAACAGUACGUGAAAUUGUUGAAAGGGAAACGCUUGAAGUCAGUCGCGUCAGCCAGGGAUCAACCUUACUCUUUUGUGUGGUGUACUUCCUGGUUGAUGGGUCAGCAUCAGUUUUGGUUGCUGGAUAAAGGUCAGAGAAAUGUGGCACCUCCGGGUGUGUUAUAGUCUCUGGUCAGAUACAGUGACUGGGACUGAGGAACUCAGCUCCGCAAGGAUGUCUUAGGAUGCUGGCAAAAUGGCUUUAAUCGACCCGUCUUGAAACACGGCAAAAGGGAGUCA
This 639-nucleotide ribosomal RNA is filed under the name Pleurotus australis. RNAcentral describes it as "LSU rRNA". It matches the Rfam family "Eukaryotic large subunit ribosomal RNA", at positions 37 to 664 of the family's 3401-position model. The record is from RNAcentral. Lineage: Eukaryota; Fungi; Basidiomycota; Agaricomycetes; Agaricales; Pleurotaceae.